This 674-nucleotide ribosomal RNA is filed under the name Enterococcus faecalis. RNAcentral describes it as "bacterial SSU rRNA". It matches the Rfam family "Bacterial small subunit ribosomal RNA", at positions 846 to 1520 of the family's 1533-position model. Lineage: Bacteria; Bacillati; Bacillota; Bacilli; Lactobacillales; Enterococcaceae. The record is from RNAcentral.
CUGCAGCAAACGCAUUAAGCACUCCGCCUGGGGAGUACGACCGCAAGGUUGAAACUCAAAGGAAUUGACGGGGGCCCGCACAAGCGGUGGAGCAUGUGGUUUAAUUCGAAGCAACGCGAAGAACCUUACCAGGUCUUGACAUCCUUUGACCACUCUAGAGAUAGAGCUUUCCCUUCGGGGACAAAGUGACAGGUGGUGCAUGGUUGUCGUCAGCUCGUGUCGUGAGAUGUUGGGUUAAGUCCCGCAACGAGCGCAACCCUUAUUGUUAGUUGCCAUCAUUUAGUUGGGCACUCUAGCGAGACUGCCGGUGACAAACCGGAGGAAGGUGGGGAUGACGUCAAAUCAUCAUGCCCCUUAUGACCUGGGCUACACACGUGCUACAAUGGGAAGUACAACGAGUCGCUAGACCGCGAGGUCAUGCAAAUCUCUUAAAGCUUCUCUCAGUUCGGAUUGCAGGCUGCAACUCGCCUGCAUGAAGCCGGAAUCGCUAGUAAUCGCGGAUCAGCACGCCGCGGUGAAUACGUUCCCGGGCCUUGUACACACCGCCCGUCACACCACGAGAGUUUGUAACACCCGAAGUCGGUGAGGUAACCUUUUUGGAGCCAGCCGCCUAAGGUGGGAUAGAUGAUUGGGGUGAAGUCGUAACAAGGUAGCCGUAUCGGAAGGUGCGGCUG